This 383-nucleotide ribosomal RNA is filed under the name uncultured eukaryote. Its description in RNAcentral is "partial 18S ribosomal RNA". It matches the Rfam family "Eukaryotic small subunit ribosomal RNA", at positions 592 to 976 of the family's 1831-position model. The record is from RNAcentral.
CAAUAGCGUAUAUUAAAGUUGUUGCAGUUAAAAAGCUCGUAGUUGGAUUUCUGGUGGGAGCGAUCGGUCUGGCGCUUAGCGCGAGUACUUGCAUCGUCUCCAGCCAUCCUUGGGGAAAGUCUGUCUGGCAUUAAGUUGUCGGGCAGAGGAUCCUCAUCGUUUACUGUGAAAAAAUUAGAGUGUUCAAAGCAGGCUUAUGCCGUUGAAUAUAUUAGCAUGGAAUAAUAAGAUAGGACUUUGGUACUAUUUUGUUGGUUUGCGCACCAAAGUAAUGAUUAAUAGGGACAGUUGGGGGUAUUCGUAUUCCGUUGUCAGAGGUGAAAUUCUUGGAUUUACGGAAGACGAACUACUGCGAAAGCGUUUACCAAGGAUGUUUUCAUUAA